Molecule: ribosomal RNA, 443 nt
Filed under: uncultured bacterium
Lineage: Bacteria
Description: partial 16S ribosomal RNA
Rfam family: Bacterial small subunit ribosomal RNA
Source: RNAcentral
CCUACGGGUGGCUGCAGUGGGGAAUAUUGGGCAAUGGAGGCAACUCUGACCCAGCAACGCCGCGUGAAUGAUGAAGGUCUUCGGAUUGUAAAGUUCUGUGAUGGGGGAUGAACACAAUGACGGUACCCCAAUAGCAAGCCACGGCUAACUACGUGCCAGCAGCCGCGGUAAUACGUAGGUGGCAAGCGUUAUCCGGAAUGACUGGGCGGAAAGGGUGCGUAGGUGGUUUAGUAAGUUGGCGGUGUAAUUCCGGGGCUCAACCGCGGCGCUACCGCCAAAACUAUUAGACUAGAGGGCAGGAGAGGUAAGUGGAAGUCAGAGUGUAGCGGUGGAAUGCGUAGAGAAUAGGAGGAACAUCAGGGGCGAGGGAGACUUCCUGGACGGUAACGGACACGGAGGCACGAAAGCGUGGGGAGCAAACAGGAUUAGAUACCCCAGUAGUC